Molecule: ribosomal RNA, 450 nt
Filed under: uncultured bacterium
Lineage: Bacteria
Description: partial 16S ribosomal RNA
Rfam family: Bacterial small subunit ribosomal RNA
Source: RNAcentral
GUGGGGAAUAUUGGACAAUGGGCGAAAGCCUGAUCCAGCCAUGCCGCGUGUGUGAAGAAGGUCUUCGGAUUGUAAAGCACUUUAAGUUGGGAGGAAGGGUAGUAACCUAAUACGUUGCUACUUUGACGUUACCGACAGAAUAAGCACCGGCUAACUUCGUGCCAGCAGCCGCGGUAAUACGAAGGGUGCAAGCGUUGUUCGGAAUCACUGGGCGUAAAGGGUGCGUAGGCGGCGUGGUAAGUCAGAUGUGAAAUCACGGGGCUCAACCUCGGGACUGCAUCCGAUACUGCCAUGCUUGAGGGCUGGAGAGGUAACUGGAAUUCUCGGUGUAGCAGUGAAAUGCGUGGAUAUCGAGAGGAACACUCGUGGCGAAGGCGAGUUACUGGACAGCAUCUGACGCUGAGGCACGAAGGCCAGGGGAGCAAAAGGGAUUAGAAACCCGAGUAGUCC